CCCGAGCCCCCACCAGGCCAACUCGCCCAGUUUAUAUAUUGGGCAUGACAUCACAUGGUAUGGAACAUUCCUUUGGCCAGUUGGGAUCAGCUGCCCUGGCUGUGUCCCCUCCCAACUUCUUGUGCCCCUCCAGCCUUCUUGCUGGCUGGGCAUGAGAAGCUGAAAAAUCCUUGACUUAGUCUAAACACUACUUAGCAACAACUGAAAACAUCAGUGUGUUAUCGACGUUAUUCUUAUACUGAAUCCAAUACAUAACACUGUACCAGCUACUACAAAGAAAAUUAACUCUAUCCCGGCUGAAACCAGGAUGGCAAACGUGACAAAUACAGGUG
This is a long non-coding RNA of Aquila chrysaetos chrysaetos, 332 nucleotides long. RefSeq lists it as uncharacterized. Lineage: Eukaryota; Metazoa; Chordata; Aves; Accipitriformes; Accipitridae. The record is from RefSeq and is a predicted model, not a curated record. The transcript is spliced from 4 exons.